GUAGUCGUACUUAAAAACACACAGCUUCUUUACCGGAUAUCACCAUGGGCAAAGUAUGUAGUUCAAGAAGAAAAGAAAAUAACUUUUGACUGGGUGCACUGGGACCCACCUCACCCUUACAUUCACAAGCAUCCUUCUCCCAAAAGACCCAGAAGUCUAAGAAUUUAUGAAUCUCAUGUUGGAAUUGCUUCUCCUGAAGGAAAAAUAGCUUCCUAUAAAAAUUUUACAGACCAUGUACUUCCUAGAAUAAAGGAUCUUGG
Long non-coding RNA from Protopterus annectens (West African lungfish), 260 nucleotides. RefSeq lists it as uncharacterized. The transcript is spliced from 2 exons. Lineage: Eukaryota; Metazoa; Chordata; Ceratodontiformes; Protopteridae. The record is from RefSeq and is a predicted model, not a curated record.